CAGAUGCUGUCCGGCCACGUGAGGGGAAGUUGUACGUUCGUUCACGUGCUUGUAUAUCAGUAUAUAUAUACAUAUAUUAUAUAUAUAUAUACAUAUAUUUAUAUAUAUUUAUAUAUGCAUUCACAUGUAUGGAUAUAUAUAUAUAUAUAUAUAUAUAUAUAUAUAAAUUUGUAUGUGUAUGUUUGAGUGAAAGAAAUUGAGGGGAGAAGAAGACGAUCGAGAAAUCUAAAAGAGGAGAAAGACGAGAGAGCGGCUAACCUCUCGCGGCUCUUUUGUUCUCUCUUCGCUCCCGUUCCUUCUCUUUCUCUCUCUCUCUCUCUCUCUCUCUCACUCUUUCUCUUUCUUUCUAUCUUUCUCUCUCUCUCUCUCUCUCUCUCUCUUUCUCUCUUGGUUCGUUCCUCUAGUUCCCACACUCUCCACAGUUCGCCGCCGUUCCGUUUCGUUAUCUCUUCGAAAGCAGCGAAACGCGCGACAUACUUUGCUCCCGAUUUGUCUCUUCUAACAUCGCAAAAUCUGUUAAAUAUUUAAUUUAAUAUACGAUAUAAAUAUGUACGAACAUAUUACUCAACUUGUAUGAAAGAUCACGUAUAAAUAUCGUGAUGCUUCGGUUUCCUUCCCAAUGGCCGACGUUGUUUCAUGUUCCAUCGCGCGAUCUAGACUUUCACCUUUUUGCUAAGAGACGAAGAAGGAAAUAACAGAUGAAAUCGUUGGAUCGCAGAUUAUCGUACUGGGUUCUACAUCAGCCGCGUCACGUUUGUACAAUUCAAUUAGCUCAGUGGACGUCAUUCGACGGCGUGCACGCUGCCGCCGCCGCCCACCGCCCACCAUCACCGCCGCCACCAUCACCACCACCACCAUCAUCAUCAUCACCACCACCACCGCCUCCGCCGCGCCGUUCUCUCUGUUCCCGCGUAGACGUUCAAACCAGUUUUCGAUAUUACGUGUUUGCCUUUUCUAAUCCGCAACACCGUUAAAUCUUGAUUCCAUGAGAAAGAGAGACAGAGAGAUAGAGAGAGAGAGAGAGAAAGAGAGAGAAAGAGAGAGAAAGA
Vespa crabro (European hornet) is the source of this 1049-nucleotide RNA transcript. It is a transcript of the gene named histone H3.v1-like, with no coding region annotated. NCBI's taxonomy places the organism in Eukaryota, Metazoa, Arthropoda, Insecta, Hymenoptera, Vespidae. The transcript is spliced from 3 exons. The record is from RefSeq and is a predicted model, not a curated record.